GCCCAACCGUAAAAUAACUCACAUCCACCAACGCCAGGGUAUUACGAGCUUUAGCUUAAAACCCAAAGGACUUGACGGUGUCCCAUCCACCUAGAGGAGCCUGUUCCAUCAUCGAUAAUCCCCGCUACACCUAACCACCCCUUGCAAUCAGUCUGUAUACCUCCGUCGUAAACUUACCAUGUGAAUGCUCACAGUAAGUUUAAUGGCCACCAUCACCAAUACGUCAGGUCAAGGUGCAGCUCAUGGGGCGGCAGGAAUGGGCUACAAUUUCUAUACUAGAACAAACGAAACGCUGCAUGAAAUACAGCCACAAAGGCGGAUUUAGUAGUAAAAAGAAAAUAGCGUGUUCUUUUUACCUAGGCCUGGGACGUGUACACACCGCC
Molecule: ribosomal RNA, 383 nt
Filed under: Quasipaa boulengeri (spiny-bellied frog)
Lineage: Eukaryota; Metazoa; Chordata; Amphibia; Anura; Dicroglossidae
Description: partial 12S ribosomal RNA
Rfam family: Bacterial small subunit ribosomal RNA
Source: RNAcentral